Molecule: ribosomal RNA, 697 nt
Filed under: uncultured bacterium
Lineage: Bacteria
Description: bacterial SSU rRNA
Rfam family: Bacterial small subunit ribosomal RNA
Source: RNAcentral
UGCAGUCGAGCGGCAGCGCGGGGCAACCUGGCGGCGAGCGGCGAACGGGUGAGUAAUAGAUAGGAACGUAUCCGGGAGUGGGGGAUAACUAGCCGAAAGGUUAGCUAAUACCGCAUAUUCUCUGCGGAGGAAAGCGGGGGACCUGUAAGGGCCUCGCGCUCGCGGAGUGGCCUAUCUCCGAUUAGCUAGUUGGUGGGGUAAAGGCUUACCAAGGCGACGAUCGGUAGCUGGUCUGAGAGGAUGAUCAGCCACACUGGGACUGAGACACGGCCCAGACUCCUACGGGAGGCAGCAGUGGGGAAUUUUGGACAAUGGGGGCAACCCUGAUCCAGCCAUGCCGCGUGCGGGAGGAAGGCCUUCGGGUUGUAAACCGCUUUUAUUCGGGAAGAAGGAGUGCUGGUUAAUACCCGGCAUGACGGACGGUACUGGAUGAAUAAGCACCGGCUAACUACGUGCCAGCAGCCGCGGUAAUACGUAGGGUGCGAGCGUUAAUCGGAAUUACUGGGCGUAAAGCGUGCGUAGGCGGUUGGCAAAGUCAGCUGUGAAAGCCCCGGGCUCAACCUGGGAAUUGCGGUUGAAACUAGUCGACUAGAAUCUGGCAGAGGGGGGUGGAAUUCCACGUGUAGCAGUGAAAUGCGUAGAGAUGUGGAGGAACACCGAUGGCGAAGGCAGCCCCCUGGGCUGAGAUUGACGCUCA